AUGAAAGUUAAGGAAUAUUAUCUUGCUGGAAGAGGGGUGAUCCUGAAAUCUAGUAACUUGGCCAGGAUGUGGAUUGACCCCAUUAAGGGUAAAUCUCCUUUGUGGGAUAAGUUCCCCGAGUUGUACAGCAUAUGCAAUGAUCAGGAAAUUACUGUGGCCAAUUUUAGGAGCAAUGUGAGCCCGGAUUUCUUCAGAAGACGCUUGCAUCCUCUACUGAUGGCUCAGUGGAGAGAGGUCAAGCGGAUAGUGGAGUCCUGGGCGCUCUCUAGUGAGCCGGACCAAGUA
This 285-nucleotide ribosomal RNA is filed under the name Triticum aestivum (bread wheat). Its description in RNAcentral is "partial small subunit ribosomal RNA". Lineage: Eukaryota; Viridiplantae; Streptophyta; Magnoliopsida; Poales; Poaceae. The record is from RNAcentral.